Molecule: ribosomal RNA, 856 nt
Filed under: uncultured bacterium
Lineage: Bacteria
Description: bacterial SSU rRNA
Rfam family: Bacterial small subunit ribosomal RNA
Source: RNAcentral
ACGACAUCGAAAGCUUGCUUUUGAUGGGCGUCGACCGGCGCACGGGUGAGUAACGCGUAUCCAACCUGCCCAUCACUUGGGGAUAACCUUGCGAAAGUAAGACUAAUACCCAAUGACGUCUCUAGAAGACAUCUGAAAGAGAUUAAAGAUUUAUCGGUGAUGGAUGGGGAUGCGUCUGAUUAGCUUGUUGGCGGGGUAACGGCCCACCAAGGCGACGAUCAGUAGGGGUUCUGAGAGGAAGGUCCCCCACAUUGGAACUGAGACACGGUCCAAACUCCUACGGGAGGCAGCAGUGAGGAAUAUUGGUCAUGGGCGAGAGCCUGAACCAGCCAAGUAGCGUGCAGGAUGACGGCCCUAUGGGUUGUAAACUGCUUUUAUAAGGGAAUAAAGUGAGUCUCGUGAGACUUUUUGCAUGUACCUUAUGAAUAAGGACCGGCUAAUUCCGUGCCAGCAGCCGCGGUAAUACGGAAGGUCCGGGCGUUAUCCGGAUUUAUUGGGUUUAAAGGGAGCGUAGGCCGGAGAUUAAGCGUGUUGUGAAAUGUAGACGCUCAACGUCUGCACUGCAGCGCGAACUGGUUUCCUUGAGUACGCACAAAGUGGGCGGAAUUCGUGGUGUAGCGGUGAAAUGCUUAGAUAUCACGAAGAACUCCGAUUGCGAAGGCAGCUCACUGGAGCGCAACUGACGCUGAAGCUCGAAAGUGCGGGUAUCGAACAGGAUUAGAUACCCUGGUAGUCCGCACGGUAAACGAUGGAUGCCCGCUGUUGGUCUGAAUAGGUCAGCGGCCAAGCGAAAGCAUUAAGCAUCCCACCUGGGGAGUACGCCGGCAACGGUGAAACUCAAAUGAAUUGACGGAAG